RNAcentral lists this ribosomal RNA (925 nucleotides) under uncultured bacterium. RNAcentral's name for it is "bacterial SSU rRNA". It matches the Rfam family "Bacterial small subunit ribosomal RNA", at positions 56 to 960 of the family's 1533-position model. The record is from RNAcentral.
UGCAAGUCGAACGGUAACAGGCCCUUCGGGGUGCUGACGAGUGGCGGACGGGUGAGUAAUACUUAGGAAUCUACCUGGUUGUGGGGGAUAACCCGGGGAAACUCGGGCUAAUACCGCAUACGUCCCUCUGUCUUUGUGGCAGGGGGGGAAAGCGGGGGACCUUCGGGCCUCGCGCUAUCAGAUGAGCCUAAGUCCGAUUAGCUAGUUGGUAGGGUAAUGGCUUACCAAGGCGACGAUCGGUAGCUGGUCUGAGAGGACGACCAGCCACACUGGGACUGAGACACGGCCCAGACUCCUACGGGAGGCAGCAGUGGGGAAUAUUGGACAAUGGGCGAAAGCCUGAUCCAGCGAUGCCGCGUGUGUGAAGAAGGCCUGCGGGUUGUAAAGCACUUUCAGUAGGGAAGAAAAGCCGAGUGCCAAUACCACUCGGUCUUGACGUUACCUAAAGAAGAAGCACCGGCUAACUCCGUGCCAGCAGCCGCGGUAAUACGGAGGGUGCGAGCGUUAAUCGGAAUUACUGGGCGUAAAGGGCGCGUAGGCGGUGAAGUAAGUCGGGUGUGAAAGCCCCGGGCUCAACCUGGGAACUGCAUUCGAUACUGCUUCGCUAGAGUAUGGUAGAGGGAAGCGGAAUUCCGGGUGUAGCGGUGAAAUGCGUAGAUAUCCGGAGGAACACCAGUGGCGAAGGCGGCUUCCUGGACCAAUACUGACGCUGAGGCGCGAAAGCGUGGGGAUCAAACAGGAUUAGAUACCCUGGUAGUCCACGCCCUAAACGAUGAGAACUAGCCGUUGGAGGAAAUUAGUCCUUUAGUGGCGCAGCUAACGCGAUAAGUUCUCCGCCUGGGGAGUACGACCGCAAGGUUAAAACUCAAAGGAAUUGACGGGGGCCCGCACAAGCGGUGGAGCAUGUGGUUUAAUUCGAUGCAAC